Molecule: ribosomal RNA, 433 nt
Filed under: uncultured bacterium
Lineage: Bacteria
Description: partial 16S ribosomal RNA
Rfam family: Bacterial small subunit ribosomal RNA
Source: RNAcentral
AACGAACGCUGGCGGCAUGCCUAGCACAUGCAAGUCGAACGAGACCUUCGGGUCUAGUGGCGCACGGGUGCGUAACGCGUGGGAACCUGCCCUUAGGUUCGGAAUAACUCCCCGAAAGGGGUGCUAAUACCGGAUAAUGUCUUCGGACCAAAGAUUUAUCGCCUUUGGAUGGGCCCGCGUUGGAUUAGCUAGUUGGUAGGGUAAAAGCCUACCAAGACGACGAUCCAUAGCUGGUCUGAGAGGAUGAUCAGCCACACUGGGACUGAGACACGGCCCAGACUCCUACGGGAGGCAGCAGUGGGGAAUAUUGGACAAUGGGCGAAAGCCUGAUCCAGCAAUGCCGCGUGAGUGAUGAAGGCCUUAGGGUUGUAAAGCUCUUUUAGCCGGGAUGAUAAUGACAGUACCGGGAGAAUAAGCGCCGGCUAACUCCGUG